This 2024-nucleotide ribosomal RNA is filed under the name Triticum aestivum (bread wheat). Its description in RNAcentral is "partial small subunit ribosomal RNA". The record is from RNAcentral. Lineage: Eukaryota; Viridiplantae; Streptophyta; Magnoliopsida; Poales; Poaceae.
AGCUCCUCCGCCGCCAGCCCCGUCCCCGGCAUCCCUCCCCUCUCCUCCUCUCCCCCGCCCGCGGACGAUCGUCUCUACCCCCGAAGGCGACGGCGCGCGCACGGAGGUCGUAAUUUCAGGGUUUUAUUUUGCGAAAUUUUCUGAUCGAUCGGUUCUCCGAGUCUCAGAUUGACUCUGGUUCCUCUGUUUUGAUCCGUAUUACCCUGUCCGAUGAUGUUUUGGGCCGUGCCACAUGGUAGGACGAGAUGGGAUGAUUUUCUAGAUUGACCGGGAGGAAAAUUCUCACCCGUGCCCCUCUCGUCUGGAUAUUGGUUCGAUUUUUCUUAACAUGUUAAUGCGUUGGAUGGGAUACUGAUAAGAAUUUGCCAUUCAGAUGUCAGCAUCAAGCGUUUUAUGUCCAGGACAUGGUAGUCUCAGCACUCUUGGGUGAAGCUGCCGCUGCAAAAAGUUGAAGCAAGCCAGUAGAGAUGACAUCAGAAGGGAAUAAAGCUGCUGCGCCUAAUGAACCGCUGCCCAUUGAGCCACUUGCAAGCUCUGGUGCAAAGCGUAAGCGUGGCCGCCCAAGGAAGUACGAGUAUUCUACAUAUGAACAACCUCACAUGGCACAGCCCAUUCAGAGCAUUCCACCUCUUCGCAGCGCACUGUAUAACCCAAAUAUCCGACAUGAUGGGCUGCAUAUUAACCAUACAUUAGGUGGUACUCUUGACACUAAAAUGCAUACAGUUUAUGUUCUGCCUGCACAGCAGACUCAAGGUGAUAGGCCCAGUCGACCUGUAGAGUCUGGUAGUACAGUCAAGUUUCGUGAAAAUCAAGUCUCCAGCAGUAGUAGUGCUCAUGUGCAAGGUAAUUUAGGCAAGGAUGUUAUCAUUGGCAAGCAUUUUGUUGGAAAGAUGACCAAGCAAUGUCCUGGGUUUUCUCUUAUUACGGUGAGACUGAAGGACAAUCAGGUGCUCAGAGGUUGGAUCCCGGAUGAAACUAACCUACGCCCAAUAACACCAAAGGAUGAUCUUGCCCCUGACCUUCCCAUGCUCCAACCAAGUAAACUUCAAAAGAAAGCAUCUGCAAUCCACAGACAAGCUGCUCCUCCCUUACCAGUCCACUUAGAGAACGUUACAAUUGCAAAGCCUCUUCAGAUGAGGAGGCCUGUGGAGACAUCUACUGCUAAGCACAUCAUCCCUCCUGCUCCAAGACCUUACGUUGGUUCUGGGGUUGUUGCAGCAGCACCUGUUUCGGUUAUAUCUGGGAAUGUAUCAAGGCCUUUGCCCAAGCAAGACACUGGAUCUUUGAGCCAAGAACCAUCAGCUACUGUGGUGCCAGUCACAGUUAAACCUGCUCAGCCUGUAUUAGUAUCAUGCAGACACGUGGAUCAAGAUGUGCAUGUUGAAGGAAAAUCUGUCCCUGAGUUUAACAGUGAUUCUGAAUCUUCAAGUGGAAGCAAGGAGUCAUCAGGCCAAACUCCGCGUGGUUUUCCAGCUGCCAUGGAUGAGACUGAGAUAACAUCAGGCUCCAAAGAACACUCAAAUACUGCUAAUAGCGACCAACAUAUUUUUAAGGAACCAUCAGAUAACUCAGAACAGUCUGAUGAACCAAAGACAGAGACUAGCAUCCUGAAAGGAGUUGAUGGCUCAAUGAUAGAGGCCUCAGGAACUGCACCAGCGGCAGAGGCCUCAAGUGCAAACCCUAAUCCCCUAGAUGAUGUUCAAUCUGCCGUGAAGGAAGAUGAACUGAAGGUUGACAGCAAAGAAAGCAGGCUGACAACGACGACAUAAAUCCUGUUGUUUGGUUUAUGCUGUUUCGGCCAGGCUUACAAGAAUCUCAACGUAAAGUGGGGUCUUUCUGUGGAUGGUCGAACCCUAGAGCAGACUAGCAUUAUUCAUUUUUUAUUCUUCUCUGACUUUAUAUGUUGAAGGUUCAGAGGAGAAACAAAUUCAUAGAAUAUUUUUGACCUUGCAGCUAGUGCUUAUGGCAAUGAGUAGAACGGAAAAAAAUGCAUAUACAUUUUAGCCUUUUAGGAAGAUGACGAA